Phyllostomus hastatus (greater spear-nosed bat) is the source of this 2903-nucleotide long non-coding RNA. RefSeq lists it as uncharacterized. NCBI's taxonomy places the organism in Eukaryota, Metazoa, Chordata, Mammalia, Chiroptera, Phyllostomidae. The transcript is spliced from 3 exons. The record is from RefSeq and is a predicted model, not a curated record.
ACUCCCCGCUAACUUUUCUUUCUUUCUCUCUCUCCCCUCCCCCUUUUCCCCUUGCAAUUUGUCUUCACUCUCAACUGAUGCUCACUUUAGUCCCCAUACUCCAACGCUAAGGGAGGGCCUUUCCGAAGGUCAUCUCUUACCACCCAAGGGAGAAGCCUCCGUGGAGGUAAAUGAGAGGACAUUGAAAAAGAUCUCAUCUUCAUGCACUGUACCUUUUCCUGUACCUCCUGAGAUCUGAGAGGUCUCAGGACUUUUGUCCGGGGCCUCUAGUACUCUGCCUUUCAUCUGAAGUCACCUUGGUCUUCAGCAUCUCUGUGAAGUUGGACAAGAGGAAUGACUUUUAAUAAAGCUUUCUCCCAGGAGCCAGCGGCCUUGACAUGGAUAGACUAGAAGAGAAAAGAGCCACAGUGACUCUGAAAGAAGAAAGACACAUGAAGACAUAGUGGUACAUGGACGUGAGCAGUGUUCGGGUUCAGUGAGCCAGGUGGAAUGGCCUGGGGUGGGAGAGCUUCAUGUGAGAAGAGGAAUAGGGAGAAAGGAAGAUGGUGAGAUGGACUUGUAUCAGGUGGGUAGACAUGUGGGAACACUAAGAGAAGAAUGAUGGUUGGAGUUUGAAUGGACUGUAGAGGCCAAUGAGAUAGUGGAAAAUGAGUCAAGGACAGAGACUGAGACUAUCUUAGUUCCAAGUAUAUCAUAGUAACAACUUUCACUGUUCACCACCACCAUCACUGCCGCCAUCACCACCGCCCUCCUCACCACCACCACCAUCAGCAGCAGCACAUGAGCACCACCAUCGCCAACAUCACAAUGAAAGAAACAACGAGGGCAUCUAAAUUACUGGAUGCUUUCUGUGGACCAGGGAGAGUGCUGAGUGUGUAUUUAUUCAAUCCUCACAGAAACCUUAUGCUUUCUUUAAAGAUAAGAAAAGGGAGACUUAGAGAGUUCCAGAAAAUUUUUGAAGGAAACACAGUAAAGUGUAGAGUUAUGCUUUUAAUCAUUAUUUGUGGUUAUUACAGAAAAGACAAAGCUAUGACAAAGACAGAAAACUUGGACAGAGCUACCGAACAAAAUAAAACCUGAGCCUUUGCCAUGCUGGGGCCGUCUUUAGCAGAUCUGAUCAGUAUGUGGAUGUCUGAAGGGAACUCUUCAUGUGUUUUGCCCACUGCUUGCUCCCUGGUGGCAAGUGUCCAACAUCUGGGAAGUCAGCUGUCAUUGCGGCCAGCUUGUAAACCAACACCCUCCCGGGCAGGUGUGGUCUUGUCUGACUUUGGGAAGACCACUCGUUCCUCCUCCCACGGCCUCCAGCUGGAGUCAGGGGGAGGGAAGCUGCAGAAAGGGCAUGACCUUUUUUAAUAGCUGCUAUUUCCACGGAGUCUUUCCUUCACUCUGAGUGUAGUCUUAAGUGCUCAGUGAGGAUUCCAAUGAGUGAAUCACAUACGGCAUGAUGUACUGGUCAGUAUAAGACAUUUCAUAACCCCGGUGGCUUUAGUGAUUUGUUUAUUGUUAUUUCUCUUUCCAAGUUAGAAUUCAUCAUUUCUGUGUGUGGAAGAGGCACUCUUUUCAUCACUUCUGCUUCAUGCUAGACUAGAAACUGUCUUAGGGACCUGGGAGAUGCGAGAUGCUUGACUAUCAGAAAAAAGCUAAUGAAAAGAAUAUUUAGCUCCGUUUUCUAGAUCACAAAACUGAGACCCAAAGACUUGGACUGCAUAUCCUAUCUGGGGGUGAAUUCUUUUAAAGAACUAUGUUAAACACAUAAUAGAGAUUUAGAAGCUUUACAUCUCUUAAUGCUGGGGGACUGAUAAACCUUAAGUCAGAGGUGCUUCUGAGGAGGGGAAGAAAAAAGAAAUAACCAACCCCUUUAACAGACGGAAGGACACAGCUUUCCUAUCAUUCUGGUUUAAAAAAACAGAUGUGUAAAUGGACAAAUUACAAGAGGACUAAUCAUUUUACAAACCAAGAUGCUGCAGAACUACUUUCAAUAGAAGUUCUGAUAGUACAUUUUAAAUCACAUCAGAUUUACUUGUAAUUAAUUACAUGCAGCUUUUCAUCAGAGCAAUUACUAUGUAGAACAAGAGAUACAGGUACCCUCACUACCUGAAACACAUUAUGAGGGUGUUUACCUGGCAUAUUUUCUUAGGUCAAAGGGUUAAGGGAUUGGCGAACUUAAUUUUACAUUGUUUCUGGGGUCCUUUCAAAGGGUAAGGAGGUUGUUAUGGACUCAGUUGUGUGUGUGGAGGGGGAGGGGCUAUUGCUAGGAUUCAAAGGAGCAGGGUAUUUCAAGAGGGGUUUCCCCCUCUGUAAGCCAAUAAAUAGAUCAUGGGCUUGUUCUUUUGAGGUCUAGGAAGUAAAAUAAAAGACAUUACUCAUCUUUAAAUCUUUUCAAAAGGUAACAUAGUAGGUCAAAAUACAGGCGUUGGAAUCAAGAGACAAGGAUUUGAAGCCUGUGAUCUGUCACUUGGUAGCUACUUAACUUUGUUUAAGGACCUUAACUUCUCUGAGCCUUAAUGCCCUCACCUGUAAAAUAGAGAUCGUCACACCUGGAUGCCAUUAGGAUUAAAUGAGAAAAUGUGCAAAUGUUCAGAAUGAUGUAAGAGUGUAACAUAGUGCCUGACAUAAAACAGACACUCAGUAAAGUGACAUAGAAUAGUGGACAAGUUAAUAGACAUACUGAAAAACAUGGAAAUUUGUGUCUGUACUAAUUGGUGCAAGCCUGAAACCCAGGAAGAAAUCAGAACUGCAACAUGUGAUGAAGGAUAAACUUUAUUGCUAAGUGAAUGUUUGAAGAGCCCCAAAGAAAUUCCCACGUGAGCAAAAUGGUUCUUCAGUCCUUAAACCCACUACUCACCCUCUGCCCCAACUGAGGUGGGGUUUCUUUUUGGUAGGAUUUCUCUUGCCAAAUGAGA